This 228-nucleotide long non-coding RNA is filed under the name Linum usitatissimum (flax). RNAcentral describes it as "long non-coding RNA (LUSI_LNC000318)". The record is from RNAcentral. Lineage: Eukaryota; Viridiplantae; Streptophyta; Magnoliopsida; Malpighiales; Linaceae.
UACUAAAAACCCUCCACCGGAUUUGAACCAAACCAAACUCAUCUCUCUUCUCCCACCACCCCAAUCUCAUACCCUCCUCCCUUUCAUUUCCAAAUCUCAACCCCCAGAUAAUCAAUGGCGACAAAUUCCCAUCACAACCAGAAGCGCUUACUACACGAGCUCCUCCAAGACGACCAGGAACCAUUCCUCCUCCACGCCUACAUUUCCGACCGCCGCCGCCUAAUCGUC